This 490-nucleotide ribosomal RNA is filed under the name uncultured bacterium. RNAcentral describes it as "partial 16S ribosomal RNA". It matches the Rfam family "Bacterial small subunit ribosomal RNA", at positions 30 to 507 of the family's 1533-position model. The record is from RNAcentral.
AUUGAACGCUGGCGGCAGGCCUAACACAUGCAAGUCGAACGGUAACAGGAAACAGCUUGCUGUUUCGCUGACGAGUGGCGGACGGGUGAGUAAUGUCUGGGAAACUGCCUGAUGGAGGGGGGUAACUACUGGAAACGGUAGCUAAUACCGCAUAACGUCGCAAGACCAAAGAGGGGGACCCUCGGGCCUCUUGCCAUCGGAUGUGCCCAGAUGGGAUUAGCUUGUUGGUGGGGUAACGGCUCACCAAGGCGACGAUCCCUAGCUGGUCUGAGAGGAUGACCAGCCACACUGGAACUGAGACACGGUCCAGACUCCUACGGGAGGCAGCAGUGGGGAAUAUUGCACAAUGGGCGCAAGCCUGAUGCAGCCAUGCCGCGUGUAUGAAGAAGGCCUUCGGGUUGUAAAGUACUUUCAGCGGGGAGGAAGGGAGUAAAGUUAAUACCUUUGCUCAUUGACGUUACCCGCAGAAGAAGCACCGGCUAACUCCGUG